RNAcentral lists this long non-coding RNA (234 nucleotides) under Carica papaya (papaya). RNAcentral describes it as "long non-coding RNA (CPAP_LNC000700)". Lineage: Eukaryota; Viridiplantae; Streptophyta; Magnoliopsida; Brassicales; Caricaceae. The record is from RNAcentral.
UGCGUGCAAUUUGGGCCGUCCGUGCGCGUGCAAUAUGGGCCGUCUGUGCGCAUUUUUUAUCUGGGCCGUCCGUGCGCCCGGAACAGAUCUCAGCUGUGCGCACGCGAAUUGCCCACGUGGCUCCCUUCCGCGUGGCCUCCCGCGUCAGCGUCUCUGCCACGCGGCGUGUCCUGGUUGGUUGGGGCUGCUGACGUGGUGCAAUUUUUCUAAAUUGCGUUUUGAACCCCAGUUUUC